Camelina sativa (false flax) is the source of this 193-nucleotide non-coding RNA. Lineage: Eukaryota; Viridiplantae; Streptophyta; Magnoliopsida; Brassicales; Brassicaceae. The record is from RefSeq and is a predicted model, not a curated record.
AGGAUGCUAAGGAAGAGCUUGAACUUCAAAGCCACACCCAUGCCUAGCUUUUAUCAAGAACCUCAGCCGCCUAAAACAGAGUUAAAGAAGAUACCACCAACGAGAGCCAAAUCUCCAAAACUUGGGAGAAAGAAGACUGCUUCUGGAGCGGAUUGUGAAGAAACUCAAACUCCUCGCAUUGGUAGGCUAAGCC